RNAcentral lists this ribosomal RNA (406 nucleotides) under uncultured bacterium. RNAcentral describes it as "partial 16S ribosomal RNA". It matches the Rfam family "Bacterial small subunit ribosomal RNA", at positions 355 to 772 of the family's 1533-position model. The record is from RNAcentral.
UGGGGAAUAUUGGACAAUGGGCGCAAGCCUGAUCCAGCAAUGCCGCGUGAGUGAUGAAGGCCUUAGGGUUGUAAAGCUCUUUCGCACGCGACGAUGAUGACGGUAGCGUGAGAAGAAGCCCCGGCUAACUUCGUGCCAGCAGCCGCGGUAAUACGAAGGGGGCUAGCGUUGUUCGGAAUUACUGGGGCGUAAAGGGCGCGUAGGCGGCCUGUUUAGUCAGAAGUGAAAGCCCCGGGCUCAACCUGGGAAUAGCUUUUGAUACUGGCGNNNUGGAUCGGUUCCGGAGGAUGGAUGGAUGGAAUUCCCAGUGUAGAGGUGAAUUCGUAGAUAUUGGGAAGAACACCGGUGGCGAAGGCGGCCAUCUGGACGGACACUGACGCUGAGGCGCGAAAGCGUGGGGAGCAAA